UACGGAGGGUGCAAGCGUUAUCCGGAUUCACUGGGUUUAAAGGGUGCGUAGGAGGGCAGGUAAGUCAGUGGUGAAAUCUCCAAGCUUAACUUGGAAACUGCCGUUGAUACUAUCUGUCUUGAAUAUUGUGGAGGUGAGCGGAAUAUGUCAUGUAGCGGUGAAAUGCUUAGAUAUGACAUAGAACACCAAUUGCGAUGGCAGCUCACUACUCAAUCAUUGACUCUGAGGCACGAAAGCGUGGGGAUCAAACAGG
RNAcentral lists this ribosomal RNA (253 nucleotides) under uncultured bacterium. RNAcentral's name for it is "partial 16S ribosomal RNA". It matches the Rfam family "Bacterial small subunit ribosomal RNA", at positions 524 to 776 of the family's 1533-position model. The record is from RNAcentral.